GUUAGGCCGAGUGGUUAUGGCGCAAGUAUGUCUUACUUGUGGACUUUGUCCGCGUGGGUUCGAGUCCCACCCUCAUCAACA
Molecule: transfer RNA, 81 nt
Filed under: Cladophialophora bantiana CBS 173.52
Lineage: Eukaryota; Fungi; Ascomycota; Eurotiomycetes; Chaetothyriales; Herpotrichiellaceae
Description: tRNA-Asp (GTC) (tRNA-Asp-GTC-3-1)
Rfam family: tRNA
About the family: Transfer RNA (tRNA) molecules are approximately 80 nucleotides in length. Their secondary structure includes four short double-helical elements and three loops (D, anti-codon, and T loops). Further hydrogen bonds mediate the characteristic L-shaped molecular structure. tRNAs have two regions of fundamental functional importance: the anti-codon, which is responsible for specific mRNA codon recognition, and the 3' end, to which the tRNAs corresponding amino acid is attached (by aminoacyl-tRNA synthetases). tRNAs cope with the degeneracy of the genetic code in two manners: having more than one tRNA (with a specific anti-codon) for a particular amino acid; and 'wobble' base-pairing, i.e. permitting non-standard base-pairing at the 3rd anti-codon position.
Source: RNAcentral